UUUAGGAGAAAAAAUAUAAGUUAGAUUAGUAUUAGUUAUAUACUUUAAAAUUAAAAAAUUUGGCGGUGAUUUAAUCUUUUCAGAGGAAUUUGUUUUUUAAUCGAUAAUCCACGAAAAAUCUUACUUACUUUUGUUGAUAUAAUAAAUCAGUUUGUAUACCAUCAUUGCAGAUAAUUCUAAAAAGAAAAAUUAUUAAAUAUAAAUAAUUAUUAAAAUUAGAUCAAGGUGCAGCUCAUAAGUAAGUUAAAAUGAAUUACAAUAAAUUAUUUUAUAAUGAAUUAAUAAGAUAAACAUUAUUAUGAAGGAGGAUUUGAUAGUAUUAUAAUUUUAAUAAGUUUAUAAGAUAGCAGCUCUAAAUCAUGUACAUAUCGCCCGUCGCUUU
Molecule: ribosomal RNA, 382 nt
Filed under: Neosarmatium africanum
Lineage: Eukaryota; Metazoa; Arthropoda; Malacostraca; Decapoda; Sesarmidae
Description: partial 12S ribosomal RNA
Source: RNAcentral